RNAcentral lists this ribosomal RNA (478 nucleotides) under Neomegalotomus rufipes. RNAcentral's name for it is "partial large subunit ribosomal RNA". It matches the Rfam family "Eukaryotic large subunit ribosomal RNA", at positions 593 to 1027 of the family's 3401-position model. Lineage: Eukaryota; Metazoa; Arthropoda; Insecta; Hemiptera; Alydidae. The record is from RNAcentral.
GGCUGUCCGUCCAGCACGCUCGUCGGCGGCGCUCCAGAUUCGGGCACUUAUCCGACCCGUCUUGAAACACGGACCAAGGAGUCUAGCGUGUGCGCGAGUCAUUGGGUGUACGAAACCUAAAGGCGCAAUGAAAGUGUCAGAGGGCGCUUGCCGCUCUCAGUGGGAGGAUGGGCUCCCGGCCUUCCGGCCGGCGCCCCGCACUCCCGGGGCGUCUCAUUCUCAUUGCGAGUCGAGACGCACCAGGAGCGCACACGCUGGUACCCGAAAGAUGGUGAACUAUGCCUGGCCAGGACGAAGCCAGGGGAAACCCUGGUGGAGGUCCGAAGCGAUUCUGACGUGCAAAUCGAUCGUCUGAGCUGGGUAUAGGGGCGAAAGACCAAUCGAACCAUCUAGUAGCUGGUUCCCUCCGAAGUUUCCCUCAGGAUAGCUGGCUCUCGGGAAGAGAAGAGUCUCAUCCGGUAGAGCGAAUGAUUAGAGG